CAAAUGCCAUCACAAGGACUUUUCCACGGCUUGUAAUGAGGUUGGGCUAACAAGAAAAAUUGGUUUCUCUAGAAUGCAAAAUCCUUGAGUUAAGAGAGCUACCAUAGUAUUCAACAUUUAAGCACAACUCUCUUCCUCACCAAUCUCACUUAUUUCCCAACUUCUUUCCUUUUCUUUUUGCAUUGAGCUCAUCUUCAUGUUUUUUUCUUAUCUUUUCUUUCCUUUUUCUCAUGCAAUUUUUUUCUCAACAUUUGAGCUUAAUUCUUUUCAAUUGCCCUUUCAAUAUCCCCCAGACAACCCCAAACUUGAACCUUUUCAACACAUACAGUUAAGUUCAACCCAACUCAAGGUGAAGAAUUUCAAAUCAAGGGUUCUCAUCCUGUUUAAGGCUAAGGUUCAAAAAGGGUAUAAUAUUUCAAGCACUUUGGGUGAAAAUUUGGCUAGAGAAGGGUUUUCAAAACUGGCCUUGAUCAUAUGAAAUUCACAUGCAAUUCAAUCAAUCAUCAAGAUUAAGGCAAUAUCAUUCAUGUUUUCCUGUGAACAAUACAUACAACAAUGAAAACUCUGGAGCUCAAUACCUCACACAACAUGCUUUCUCACACAUCAUUCAUUCAUACACCCUGCUUAGCAUCAUAACACAAUCAUAAUUCAUCACACAUCUGUUCACAAAGUUAGUGAACUUUUUCACUAGAUAUCAACAUGCAACACAACUCAAUUAUCCCCCAAUCAUCAUUGAAUAGACUUAUCAUGCAUGUUAUUCAGUCAAACAUUUUCAGAAAAGUAUUCAAGCCAAGCAUAGACACUGAAAAUAAAAAUUCAACCU
RNAcentral lists this long non-coding RNA (823 nucleotides) under Vigna radiata. Its description in RNAcentral is "long non-coding RNA (VRAD_LNC006376)". The record is from RNAcentral. Lineage: Eukaryota; Viridiplantae; Streptophyta; Magnoliopsida; Fabales; Fabaceae.